Molecule: long non-coding RNA, 574 nt
Organism: Cotesia glomerata
Lineage: Eukaryota; Metazoa; Arthropoda; Insecta; Hymenoptera; Braconidae
Exons: 2
Source: RefSeq, a predicted model, not a curated record
AGAAAUUUUAAUAAAAACCGAGUUUUUAAACUUUAAACUUUAGAAUGAUUAUGGAUUAUUUUUAGAUUUACACCCGAGUUUUUUCCAUAAAUGAUAACGAGCGUAAGAAGCAAAUAAAUACCGAGCUCGUAGAUGAUAAUGAAAGGGGAUAGUAUAAAUAUAAUAUUCAAUUGAUGCGUAGUAUGUAGUUAAAACUUGAGCAGUUGAUACGUUCAGAAAUUAAAAAAAUUAAUAGUUAUUGAUAUAAUUAUAGUAAAAAAUUUAUUAUUGAAUUGUAAUGAUGUGCAAAUUGUUGGUUGUUAUUUUACUCAUCAUUAUGGCCGUGUCUUUGGUCGCUGCAUCUUGUGGAUAUCAUAAUGAUUAUUGUCAGAAAAAUCGAGAUUGUUGCGAAAGAUUCUGCAACACUGCCCUUCCAAAGCCAGUCUGUGAGGACCAUUGGAACCACAAAAAAGACCAGGGAGAGUAAUAAUCCAUCUAAAAUUCAAUAAAAAGUGAAAUAAAAAUGUAAAACAAAUGUAUUUUUAUUUGUAUGUGUUAUCAUUUGAUUAAAAAUAAAGUAAAAUAAAUAAAAUUA